Molecule: ribosomal RNA, 456 nt
Filed under: uncultured bacterium
Lineage: Bacteria
Description: bacterial SSU rRNA
Rfam family: Bacterial small subunit ribosomal RNA
Source: RNAcentral
CGGCGAUGGAUUAGGCAUGCAAGUCGAACGGGAGCAGCAAUGCGUCCAGUGGCGCAAGGGUGAGGAACACGUGAACAACCUGCCUUCGAGUUGGGGAUAGCUUCUGAAACGGGAGAUAAUACCGAAUAACAUCAUUGGAUCGCAUGAUUUGAUGAUCAAAGCAGCAAUGCGCUUGAAGAGGGGUUCGCGUCCCAUUAGCUAGUUGGUGAGGUAACGGCCACCAGGGCGAUGAUGGGUAGCUGGUCUGAGAGGACGAUCAGCCACAUUGGGACUGAGAUACUGCCCAGACUCCUACGGGAGGCUGCAGUCGAGAAUUUUGGGCAAUGGACGAAAGUCUGACCCAGGCCAAUGCCGCGUGCGGGAUGAAGGUCUUCGGAUUGUAAACCGCUGUCAAGAGGGACGAAACAUGACGGUACCUCUGGAGGAAGCCACGGCUAACUACGUGCCAGCAGCGGC